AGUGAGAAAGUCAGAGGAGGAGGCUGACAUUGUGAGGGCAGGGAGGGAAUUCAGCCUGGAAGUGCUCCAAGGACUGGCUGUGCUGGCUGUGCUUUGAGAGUGCUUUGGAAAACUUUCAGAGUCACCAGCCAACGCAGACAAGACCUCUUUCCACCUACUUUCCCUUUCCUGCCAUCUUCCCACUGUCCCUUUCUUAUCCAACCACCCAGCGUGAGACAUGCUGGUGUGGGCAGGAUCCUGGUGAAUCCUGGGCUGGUGUCUUAUUGACCAUCCUGACAUGUGGCCUGAUGAUCAUGAUUUUGGCACUGUUCAGGGAGGAGAAUAUUAGGAAGAGAAAAAGGGGAAAGGGAAGAAAAUUAUCUCCAUGUGGAGGAGGAAAACAAAGCACAAGUCUCACACUACUGUGUUACCUGGACAUACAGUUUCACAGCAGCCUAAACAAGGGAAAAUAAUUAGCUUUCGGACAAGCUUGAGCUGUGAUGUCAGAAGCUAUCCAUGGCUGCUGAAAGAAGUUAUUAGUGCUGAGCUGAUGAAGGCUUCCUGGCAAAGCUCUGCCUCUUUACUAAUUUGUCUCUCUGGGAUUUUAACAAAAUUUAAAAAAACCCGAGGUAAACGCAAAAAAAAUACAUUUAUUUAUGCAUUAAAAAGAUAUGUAUUUGUAAAGCAAAAAUGCCAGUAACGUUGCUGCUGAGCUCUGCAGACAGCUGAGAAAUAAACAAAACAAAAGACAUUACUUCGUUCCAGUAUAAACAACACUUUCCUCCGAGCAGGGAAACGUUUGGGCAUUUUUUUUAAUUAACUUUUUGUCUCUUUUUCUCCCUCCUCCUGCCCCCCCCCCCCCCCCCCCUCGAAAUUCACAGCGUUCAUUGGCAAGUCUGGUAAUUAUCAGUCAUUAAAGGUGUCAGCUUUCCUCCAAGUGCCAUCAGCAGAGUGUCACAUAUGCCCGGGGGGGGGAACACACAUCCUUCCCGUGCUGUCCCUGCCCAACACCAGCAGUAAUUGCACCCAAACUGAAGCUGUUUCUCUCCUCCAAAGCGAGGACACACCCAGGGACAGUCAGCCCCUGUCACUGCCACUGGAACAGCAAGUCCCCAAAGUGAUUGCACUGCACGAUGGUAAAUAUUAUGGGAAGAUAUGGAGUGGGAUGAAUUAAAAACGCCUGUGUGGAUCUAUGGAGGGUUUGAUUUCACCCAGGAGGAAUGAAGAAAUGUGGAUCACUCUGAGCCUUGGAUGUCCGAGGCGUAAUCUAAUUUCUCAACGUAGUCAACCAGUUGAAAUGUGCAAAAUAUGGAUUCCAUUGGGAAUCUGGCUGAGCUGUGUCUGAUUAGCAUGUGCAACUGUUCAGUGGCGGGUUUUUGUGAGCAUUUAGUCUCUGCUUUAAACAGAAUCAUCACCAGCUGGUUAUUUUUUACUGUUAUUAGGUUAGAAAAUAGCACUGAGGUAUACAACAGUAAUCACAAAGCUGUGAUGCCAGGGAAAAAAUAAUCACGUUAAAUUGACCUUCAUGAAUAAAGAGUGAGGUUCCAUUUCGCCUCA
Pseudopipra pipra is the source of this 1536-nucleotide long non-coding RNA. RefSeq lists it as uncharacterized. The record is from RefSeq and is a predicted model, not a curated record. NCBI's taxonomy places the organism in Eukaryota, Metazoa, Chordata, Aves, Passeriformes, Pipridae. The transcript has 2 exons.